This 70-nucleotide transfer RNA is filed under the name Serrivomer sector (sawtooth eel). Its description in RNAcentral is "tRNA-Ile". The record is from RNAcentral. Lineage: Eukaryota; Metazoa; Chordata; Actinopteri; Anguilliformes; Serrivomeridae.
GGAAUCGUGCCUGAAUAAAGGACUACUUUGAUAGAGUAGAUCAUGGGGAUUAACAUCUCCCCCGACUCCU